CAAAAGCUGGACAAUGCAGAACUCCCCAAGGGCCGCAUGAAGAAAACACCAAAAGCUGCACACAGAAGCACUCCUCAGGGCAACAAGGAGAAGAAAAACCAAAAAGCUUCACGAAGAAUUACUCCUCAAGUGCCAUAGUGAAGAAAACACGAAGAGCUAAGUGAUGAAGCCCUCUUCAGGGGAAACGUGGUGUGGGGAAAAUCCCCAAAAGCUGCACGAUGAAGAACUCCUCAGGGCUGUAGUGAAGAAAACACCAAAAGCUGCAUGAUGAACUCCUUUGGGUAAACGUGGUAAAGAGAACUCCAAAACCUGGACGAUGCAGAACUCCACAGGGCUGCAGUGAAGAAAAUUCCCAAAGCUGCAUGAUGAAGAACUCCUCAGGGUAAAUGUCAUGAAGAGAACCCCAAAAGCUGCACAAUAAAGAACUCCUCAGGGCCAUAGUGAAAAAACACCAAAAGCUGCAUGCAGAAGCACUCCUCAGGGCCUGGAUGAGAAAAAAAACAACACACCAAAUGUUGGAAGAUGAAGCACUUUUCAGGGGCAACAAGGUGAAAACAUCACCAAAAGCUGCAUGAUGAAGCUCUCCUCAGGGAAACCAUGGUGAGGAGAACACCAAAAGCUGGACAGUGCAGAACUCCUCAGGGUCGCAGUGAUGAAAACACCAAAAGCUGCAUGAUGAUGCACUCCUCAGGGUCCCAAAGUGAAGAGAACCCCAAAAGCUGCACGAUGAAGAACUCCUCAGGGACCACAAGGUGAAGAAAACACGAAAAGCUCCACGAAAAAUGACUCCUCAAGUGCCACAGUAAAAAAAAAAAAAAAAAAAAAAAACACAUGAAAAGCAGAAUGAUGAAGCACUCCUUGGGGGAAACGUGGUGUGGAGAACCCCAAAAGCUGCAUGGUGAAGACGUCCUCAGGGAAACACAGUGAAGGAAAAA
Molecule: long non-coding RNA, 935 nt
Organism: Cygnus olor (mute swan)
Lineage: Eukaryota; Metazoa; Chordata; Aves; Anseriformes; Anatidae
Exons: 2
Source: RefSeq, a predicted model, not a curated record